RNAcentral lists this ribosomal RNA (401 nucleotides) under Gyratrix cf. hermaphroditus 214386072. RNAcentral describes it as "SSU rRNA". It matches the Rfam family "Eukaryotic small subunit ribosomal RNA", at positions 194 to 593 of the family's 1831-position model. The record is from RNAcentral. Lineage: Eukaryota; Metazoa; Platyhelminthes; Rhabdocoela; Polycystididae.
GGGAAGGGUGGAUUUAUUAGAACAAAACCAACCGGGUUGUGCUGUCGGCGUGAUGUCUCUGGAUAACUUUUCUGAUCGCACGGCCCAGCGCCAGCGACGUAUCUUUCAAAGGUGUGCCCUAUCAACUAUCGAUGGUAGCAGAUAUGCCCACCAUGGUGAUGACGGGUAACGGGGAAUCAGGGUUCGAUUCCGGAGAGGGAGCCUUAGAAAUGGCUACCACAUCUAAGGAAGGCAGCAGGCGCGCAAAUUACCCACUGUCAGCUGGAGGAGGUAGUGACGAAAAAUAACGAUAUGAGACUCAUAUGAGGCCCCGUAAUCGGAAUGAGUACAAUUUAAAUCCUUUAACGAGGAACUAUUGGAGGGCAAGUCUGGUGCCAGCAGCCGCGGUAACUCCAGCUCCA